This 253-nucleotide ribosomal RNA is filed under the name uncultured bacterium. Its description in RNAcentral is "partial 16S ribosomal RNA". It matches the Rfam family "Bacterial small subunit ribosomal RNA", at positions 524 to 776 of the family's 1533-position model. The record is from RNAcentral.
UACGGGGGGGGUAAGCGUUGUUCGGAAUUACUGGGCGUAAAGGGCUCGUAGGCGGCCAACUAAGUCGGACGUGAAAUCCCUCAGCUUAACUGGGGAACUGCGUCCGAUACUGGAUGGCUUGGAUUUGGGAGAGGGAUGCGGAAUUCCAGGUGUAGCGGUGAAAUGCGUAGAUAUCUGGAGGAACACCGGUGGCGAAGGCGGCAUCCUGGACCAAUAUUGACGCUGAGGAGCGAAAGCGUGGGGAGCGAACAGG